CCUACGGGUGGCAGCAGUGGGGAAUAUUGGGCAAUGGGCGCAAGCCUGACCCAGCAACGCCGCGUGAAGGAAGAAGGCUUUCGGGUUGUAAACUUCUUUUGUCAGGGACGAAGCAAGUGACGGUACCUGACGAAUAAGCCACGGCUAACUUAGUGCCAGCAGCCGCGGUAAUACGUAGGUGGCAAGCGUUAUCCGGAUUUACUGGGUGUAAGGGGCGUGUAGGCGGGACUGCAAGUCAGAUGUGAAAACCCCGGGCUCAACCUGUGGCCUGCAUUUGAUACUGUAGUUCUAGAGUGCUGGAGAGGCAGACGGAAGUCCUAGUGUAGCGGUGAAAUGCGUAGAUAUUAGGAGGAACACCAGUGGCGAAGGCGGUCUGCUGGACAGCAACUGACGCUGAGGCGCGAAAGCGUGGGGAGCAAACAGGAUUAGAUACCCGAGUAGUC
This 443-nucleotide ribosomal RNA is filed under the name uncultured bacterium. RNAcentral's name for it is "partial 16S ribosomal RNA". It matches the Rfam family "Bacterial small subunit ribosomal RNA", at positions 338 to 795 of the family's 1533-position model. The record is from RNAcentral.